CGGGCGUCUUAACAUGCAAGUCGAGCGGCAGGCAGCAAUGCCGAGAGCGGCGGACUGGUGAGUAACACGUGGAUAACGUACCCCGAUGUCUGGGACAGCCUGUAGAAAUAGAGGGUAAUACCGGAUAGAUCACUGUUUACGUGAGGUAGACAGCGGGAAAGGAGCUUCGGCUCCGCGUCGGGAACGGUCUGCGGCCCAUCAGCUAGACGGCGGGGUAAGUGCCCGCCGUGGCGAGGACGGGUAUCCGGCCUGAGAGGGCGGACGGACACAUUGGGACUGAGAUACGGCCCAGACUCCUACGGGAGGCAGCAGUGUAAGAAUAUUCCGCAAUGGGGGGAACCCUGACGGAGCGACGCCGCGUGAACGAAGAAGGCCGGAAGGUUGUAAAGUUCUUUUCUGUUCGAGGAAUAAGUUUCGGAGGAAAUGCCGGGGCGGUGACGGUAGGGCAGGAAUAAGCACGGCUAAUACGU
This 470-nucleotide ribosomal RNA is filed under the name Treponema socranskii. RNAcentral describes it as "bacterial SSU rRNA". It matches the Rfam family "Bacterial small subunit ribosomal RNA", at positions 40 to 506 of the family's 1533-position model. Lineage: Bacteria; Pseudomonadati; Spirochaetota; Spirochaetia; Treponematales; Treponemataceae. The record is from RNAcentral.